GUGUCGGUAGUGCAACGACUUAGCACGCUCCCGUAGAGUGAGAUCUGGGUUCGAAUCCCAGCUGACGCG
This is a non-coding RNA of Parelaphostrongylus tenuis, 69 nucleotides long. NCBI's taxonomy places the organism in Eukaryota, Metazoa, Nematoda, Chromadorea, Rhabditida, Metastrongylidae. The record is from the annotation of a GenBank genome assembly.